GGCCUCUCAGGAUGACACCUGGAGAGUUUCCAGUACUCUACCAAUCUCGACUUUGGGAGGAAGAGUCAAGCAGAGGCCUACUCCUUCCAUUCCUAGCUUGGGCAGUGGUUAGUGAUUGGAAGGCAAUCUGCUACAAGU
Molecule: small nucleolar RNA, 138 nt
Organism: Tachyglossus aculeatus (Australian echidna)
Lineage: Eukaryota; Metazoa; Chordata; Mammalia; Monotremata; Tachyglossidae
Source: RefSeq, a predicted model, not a curated record